RNAcentral lists this ribosomal RNA (755 nucleotides) under Streptococcus sp. HGH0210. RNAcentral describes it as "bacterial SSU rRNA". It matches the Rfam family "Bacterial small subunit ribosomal RNA", at positions 58 to 795 of the family's 1533-position model. RNAcentral also lists the same sequence under 2 other names. The record is from RNAcentral. Lineage: Bacteria; Bacillati; Bacillota; Bacilli; Lactobacillales; Streptococcaceae.
GACGCACAGUUUAUACCGUAGCUUGCUACACCAUAGACUGUGAGUUGCGAACGGGUGAGUAACGCGUAGGUAACCUGCCUAUUAGAGGGGGAUAACUAUUGGAAACGAUAGCUAAUACCGCAUAACAGUAUGUAACACAUGUUAGAUGCUUGAAAGAUGCAAUUGCAUCGCUAGUAGAUGGACCUGCGUUGUAUUAGCUAGUAGGUAGGGUAAUGGCCUACCUAGGCGACGAUACAUAGCCGACCUGAGAGGGUGAUCGGCCACACUGGGACUGAGACACGGCCCAGACUCCUACGGGAGGCAGCAGUAGGGAAUCUUCGGCAAUGGGGGGAACCCUGACCGAGCAACGCCGCGUGAGUGAAGAAGGUUUUCGGAUCGUAAAGCUCUGUUGUUAAGGAAGAACGAGUGUGAGAAUGGAAAGUUCAUACUGUGACGGUACUUAACCAGAAAGGGACGGCUAACUACGUGCCAGCAGCCGCGGUAAUACGUAGGUCCCGAGCGUUGUCCGGAUUUAUUGGGCGUAAAGCGAGCGCAGGCGGUUAGAAAAGUCUGAAGUGAAAGGCAGUGGCUCAACCAUUGUAGGCUUUGGAAACUGUUUAACUUGAGUGCAGAAGGGGAGAGUGGAAUUCCAUGUGUAGCGGUGAAAUGCGUAGAUAUAUGGAGGAACACCGGUGGCGAAAGCGGCUCUCUGGUCUGUAACUGACGCUGAGGCUCGAAAGCGUGGGGAGCGAACAGGAUUAGAUACCCUGGUAGUC